CAUGCAAAGAAAGGACAGUGAUUUGAUAGUGAUCAAUUGCCUGCACAUUAUUAUUAUUAUUAUUAUUAUUAUUAUUAUUAUUAUUAUUAUUAUUAUUAUUAUUAUUAUUAUUAUUAUUAUUAUUAUUAUUAUUAUUAUUAUUAUUAUUAUUAUUAUUGGUUUAAAUGUACGCGGGCGCUAGCACUCAGGCCUUAGAGUUGUUCCCGGGCACGGUAACUAAAUGGUUGCUUGAUAAAGGAUUGAUUAUUAUAACUGUGCUUUCUGACGACAUCAUUUUCAAAGCCAUACUCGUAGGCCUGUGUCAUCUCGAGUCGGAGAAAAGGUGCUCGCAAGGGCACGGCACGUGACGCUUCAGAAGUACGCACCGUCAAGCUACUGGCAUAACUAUUCUUAUAUUUUAUUUUCUUUCUUUCUUUCUUUUCCUUUUCUUUUCUUUUCUCUAGUAUUUCUUUUUUAUUGUCUUGUCUCAGGAUACCGUUCGCUUAUUCCACCAAGCAGUUCCUUAGCUCUCCACAACGAGGCAACGAAUGUCGGUGCACGACCUCAGCCACUGCACGAUGGGCGCAAUGCGUGUGCCCCACUCUCUGGCUGUGAAGUGCGGGAUUGAAGUGGCCAACACUUCUUCGAAAGCUGACUCGCUCCGUCGCACUGCCAGUGGCACGCUUCUUCUAUUAUUUGGGAUUAACGCUUUCGUUUCUCCAACCAAAUUUGGAGAGCAAUUACCUUCCCCACAUUAAUGGUCGACAAGCUAGCACACUAUCCAAUCUCCCGACGUCAAGUUUACGUAACCGCCGACGCAAGCCCGGGCGGUGACUCGCAAGGUUGUUUCAAUAGUCCAAUAAAACGCUCUCCUCUUUUAUAGGAGGUGACUUCUC
This is a long non-coding RNA of Dermacentor andersoni, 875 nucleotides long. RefSeq lists it as uncharacterized. The record is from RefSeq and is a predicted model, not a curated record. NCBI's taxonomy places the organism in Eukaryota, Metazoa, Arthropoda, Arachnida, Ixodida, Ixodidae.